This is a long non-coding RNA of Suricata suricatta (meerkat), 468 nucleotides long. RefSeq lists it as uncharacterized. The record is from RefSeq and is a predicted model, not a curated record. NCBI's taxonomy places the organism in Eukaryota, Metazoa, Chordata, Mammalia, Carnivora, Herpestidae. The transcript has 4 exons.
GCUGGGCAGAACAGCUGGUUCUUGUCAGCCAGCUUUGGUCAUCACUACGUUCGCUGACUCCACGUCCCCUGUGAGGGCUGGCUUCCCCAGGGUCACAUUCUCCCAGAGGAAAAAGGACUUUUCUCCCCGCCAUGUUCAUACAUAAGUCACAGGGAAGUUUUAUUGGAUUGCAACCAAUCCACGCAUAUGAGGAAAAUGGAGGUUCAGCGAGAUGAAGGGACUGGUCUAAGGUCUAAGCGCCGGAGGCCAGCCCAGACUAUCUGGCUCCAGACCUGCAUUCUUAGACACUCAACUGCUGUCAGAGAGGGGAAAUCUGGACACAGAUAUGCAUCGGAGAACUGCCUGGUGACCACGAAGAUGGCCACCUGCAAGCCAAGGAGAGAGAGCCCUCAGAAGCCACCAAUGCUGUUGACACCUUGAUCUCAAGCUCCAGAACUGUGAGAAAAUAAACUUCUGUCGUUAAAGCCA